This 42073-nucleotide long non-coding RNA is filed under the name Ananas comosus (pineapple). RNAcentral's name for it is "long non-coding RNA (ACOM_LNC013135)". Lineage: Eukaryota; Viridiplantae; Streptophyta; Magnoliopsida; Poales; Bromeliaceae. The record is from RNAcentral.
AUUAUUUUUAGCUAAACUUUAAUUUUUCUAACUGGCUUUAGCGUAUUUUUACUUAAUCAUCUUACUAUUGAAAAAGAGGCACAUAAUUAUUAUAUAAUUUUAUUUUUAUUUACUAUAAGAAUAUAUCGUUAACACAACAACAAAAUAAUACUUUUGUGAACUACAAGAAUAUGCAAUAUAAUAUUUUAUCAUUUUGUAUUCUGCAUGUCGUCACCAUGAAGUUUCAAAAACAAAUCACUUUGCUCUAUUUAAGUAUAUUUUAGGCUAAAUUAUAUAAAAUUCCCUUGUCAAAACUUGAUUUUUCACUUUUCUCCUAUCAUUUAAAAACCUACACUUUGCCCCCUUAUAAAAUAAAAAAUAUUCACUUUGUCCCCUGCCGUUAGCAAUCCGUUAGGGUUCCGUUUAUAAAAUAUUAUUAUAUAGUUUUUUAUGCCAAAAAUGUCCUCAACCUUUUCUCCUGUGAACAUGGUGAGGAGCAAACUGAUGAGGGGCAAAAUGGUCAUUUUAUCAUCACAGUUCACACUGUACCCCCUGUAAAUAUUUUUUAUUUUACAAGGAGGCAAAAUGUAGUUUUUAAAUGACAAGGGGAGAAUGUGAAAAAUUAGAUUUUGACAGGAAGGUUUUUUGUAAUUUAUAUUUUAAUUAAAAUUUCUGGAUGGAUAAAGAGACAACUUACCUCUCUCUUACAUAACCAGACACUUGUAGAGACUUCUAGUCUAAAUAUAAGAAAAAACUUUGAAUACCCCAAUGUGGUUUAGUGAAUUCCCAUUUAGUACUUUUUAGAGUAUAGCAAUAGCAUUGUUCAAGAAGAUAUCAGUGUUUGUUUGUACCUAUUGCAAAAUAUAGUGCUAAUUGAUAAAAUUUCAUGUAAAAUAGACUUUUUACAGCUACUUUUCCUAAAUGCGAAAGCAGAGUUCCAAAUUUUAGCUUUUGGCUAUGCAAACAGACAAGGAUGAAUUUGAAUAUUUAUUAAGGGGCAAAUAGGUAUUUUCCAAUUAAUAACUUUAGUGACUAACAGAUUCACUGCACAAGCAAAACUGGGAAGCACCAGUUGUAGAUUUAUUUUUUCAUGUCCCACAAGAAGCAGAAGCAAUUUGAAUUUAAACUCCCAAAUACUCUACUACGAGCUGACUCUAAUUCCAGCCAAAGCAGAAACUAAGUAAAACAGACUUUUGAAAUCUUUAUUCUAACUUACCGUCGCCGAAGUAAAAGCUUCAAGUUUCUCCAUUUCAAAACACUCUACUUGAUAUAACUGUAGUUGAAUCAAAAGUGGAAGAGGGGGCCAAAAAGCCACUCAGUUUAAUCAGUAGAUGUAGCUAACUAAAUUUGAAAGUCUUAUUAACUUAAUGUGAGUCAUUUUCCAUCAAAUAAAAGUUAAUAGGAAGGUCAUAAUGAGAAUGUUAACCCUUGCAUUUAAUUUUCCCUCUUCGAGAAAAAGAUCACAAACAAACCGGCGGCUGAAACUACGCUUGAAACAAAUACAUAGAAAUGAGGAAAUACAAUAGGUAUCAUAAUCUGUACAUAAUCUUCAAGAAUUCNUAUUUUAAUUUUGAAAUUUAAAAUUUGAUAUUUUAUAUUUAUUAAAUUUAAAUUUGAUCUUAAAUUUAAAGUUUGAAAUUUAAAAAUUUAAAUUUAAAUAUAAUAAAAGGAUAAUAUGAUUAUUUUUUAUUUAUAAAAACCUACUAUUUUUCUUAUUCUAUCGUACCUAACCAAAUGUUAUUUUUUUUAAUCCCAAGAAUAAGCCAAUUUUCAUCCAAACGCAAAAUUGAUCUAAUCCCCCGCGUAUACCUCAAUUUAUACCUAUCCCUGGAAUAGACACUUUUUGCUUAUCUCCGAACCAAACGAUACCUUAGUAACUAACAGAUUCACUGCACAAGCAAAACUGGGAAGCACUAGUUGUAGAUUUAUUUUUUCAUGUCCCACAAGAAGCAGAAGCAAUUUGAAUUUAAACUCCCAAAUACUCUACUACGAGCUGACUCUAAUUCCAGCCAAAGCAGAAACUAAGUCAAACAAACUUUUGAAAUCUUUAUUCUAACUUACCAUCGCCGAAGUAAAAGUUUCAAGUUUCUCCAUUUCAAAACACUCUACUUGAUAUAACUGUAGUUGAACCAAAAAGCCACUCAGUUUAAUCAGUAGAUGUAGCUAACUAAAUUUGAAAGUCUUAUUAACUUAAUGUGAGUCAUUUUCCAUCAAAUAAAAGUUAAUAGGAAGGUCAUAAUGAGAAUGUUAACCCUUGCAUUUAAUUUUCCCUCUUCGAGAAAAAGAUCACAAACAAACCGGCCGCUGAAACUACGCUUGAAACAAAUACAUAGAAAUGAGGAAAUACAAUAGGUAUCAUAAUCUGUACAUAAUCUUCAAGAAUUCACAAACCAUAAUUGUCAGCACAGAAGGUAGUUUUGCAUUAUAGUGUAAAUUUAAAUUUAACAGAAACAUUUUGGUUACUCUCAGUCAAGUAACGAUUACAUGAUCCAUGAUCCGACCAAUUUGCACACUACAACCUGAAUACUGUUUACUAGCUGAAAUAUGAAAAGAAUACAAUAGAAUAUCUAAACUAAAACAACUGCACCAAGAAGCAACAAUGCUUUCGUUUUCUCCAUCUUUCAAGCUGUAAAAGGCAUAUAGGAAAACAUAACACUUGCCAAAGAAAAAAUAAUAUUUGAUAGUUGGAAUCCUUUGACAGCGACGUCAAAUAGAAAGAAACUGGUAAAUUCUUUGUUGCAUCCAUCUUUCAGAUUAGAUGAGAUUAGGCUAAUUAUCCAAUCAGUGAAGCCCAAACAAGCUUCUCGCAACUGCGCGCGAACCUUUCCUCCGACCCCUAGUUGUGCUUCUGCUGCUUCUCAGAGGAGUCAGAUAGAAGCGCAGCAGUCCAUUGUCUAAGUUCCCAGGAGAGGUGUAAUGAACGCUCCGGCUUCUACCAAACUUAUGAUCCCACUUCUUUCUCCAAUCAGGCCCGUGAUUGUUAACACCCCCAAUAGAAGAAUUCAUUCUCCGGUGCACACGCUGGUUUGCUCUACCAUAGCUGAAGCCAUUGCCGUUAAUGUCAGUCCUUUUCUCCUUUCGAGUGUCCUUCCAAGAUUCAGAUAGAGACCUGUCCAAUACAUGUUCACCUUUCUUUACGCAAUCCCUGAUAGGGCUAGUUAUACUUCGAUCCCACACCCUGCUCCAUCUUCGUGAUUUCUUCCUAAUAAUACCUGGAACGGCUAUCUCUCGAUGGAGUUCAUUAACACUACUCUCUUUGAAAAGGCGCCUCAAACUACUAUCAUUUGAUGUCAAGGCUCUCUCGCUAGUUAAAAUCUUUUCAUUGGCGCUACCAUUAUCAGCAUUUUCAGGGUUUUCGAGCACCGGUUUCUGUGUAAUGCUUCUUUGUAGUCGUUCUUCGAGGCAGGGAAAGGAGCAAGCCAGUGCCUUGCUCACCGUCGAACCAUCCCAUGAAUGCCUGGGAAGAUCACAUGAAACCUUGCUCGACUCAUGACACGCCGUCUGAUCACAAAAAUACCGAGAGCUGCGGUUUCUCUCUAACUUCUUAGUUUCCACUACAUUUCUUUUGGAAUCAUCUCUCGUCCCCAACCUUAAACUUUUCUUCGACACCAACGAACUCAACCAAAGUGAAAUCCCUUUUCGAUUCAAGUUCCGUUCAUCCGAACCAUAGAUUUUCUCGUCAGCAUGAGCAUCACUCCCGCCUGCUCGAUCAGAGUUCGAUUGAAGCCGUACAGCUUCAUCUUUGGCACAGCUCAAAACACGAGACUCACGCCGACCAUCGAAAGAUCCACCAUUAGUAGGGUUAGGGUUUGAACCCUCUAGGUUGUCAUCCAAUUGGAACAAUAAAAGGAGAGUCUUUCUCGAUCUAACUUCGCAAGGCUGCUUCUUUGUAUCAGGGGAGGCAACAGAGGCCUCUACUAUCUCACCCUGCGACCUUCUCGCGGCGCUCGUGCUCGACUCGGCAGAGCCAAUGCUAGAAGAUAACCUCUCAAGCAAACAAGAAGAGCAAAAACCAGUGAAAAACUGAUAUGGGUGCUUCCCACACCGCGCAAAAUCGCCGCUUUCUCGAUCCAUCUUAGCUUAAAAGAUCAAAGGAAGCUAAAAUCAUUGCACAAUUUCCCUUUUUUAAAGAAAUAUUCAGCAUUGAAACCCCAGUUGAUAAAAUUUACAUGCUUUAAGCCACGUAAUAACACAAAGAUCACACUAACACACUAAAAAGUAGACAUUUUUAUGCUUUGAUGAGCUCAACUGCAACAAAAUCAACUCAAAUUAAAACUCUCAGAUGAUCAAAUCCGAGAAAUACCUGAUUAGCACAGUUUCUUUAACGAUUUGAAACAGGGGAGACGAAUUAAGCAACAAAAGAUCGAAUUAAACUACGCCAAACGAAUCAAAAAGAAAAAAAAUUACAGAUUCGGAAGCGGAAAAAGAGGAAGCAGAGAAAACGAACUAAAAUCGCCGAAUCCGAUGGAUUCUCUCCCGAAUUCGAUGCUCCAAAAUCCCCAAUUUGUAAGAAGAACUUCGAACCCUAAAAACUUUUAUUAAGGGCUCGCAUCGAUCGAAGGAAUUAAAAAAAAAGGAAAAACCCUAAAUUAAACCCCGCGCGUUGAAUGGGAGGAGAAACAGUUGAUCACUAGAUUACGAAAAUACCCUUCGUAAGUCUGUAGAAUGUCCAAAAUACCCCUAAAGAGAAAGCAAUGUUUUCUAAUUCUUUAUUUAUUUUUAUUUAAGGUCUCUUCCAGUUAAAAAAUUUUAAUAAAAAUACUUAAUUUUAUUUUUUAUCUAAAUUUUAAAAUUUUAUUUCUCUUUUCUAAAAUAUUCUAAAUACUUUUUGAGUAAUCUAAAACCAUAAUGCAUUUUAUAUACAUUAUAUAUAUCAAAUUCAAAAAAAUAUAUACUAGAAAGAAUAGAAAACUCCUGAAAUCUAUUAAAAGAUGUUCGACAUAAACUUUNAUUAUAAUUUUUUUUUGCAUAAUAAUAAAUUGUUAUAAAUUUUAUAUACAUUAUAUAUAUCAAAUUCAAAAAAAUAUAUACUAGAAAGAAUAGAAAACUCCUGAAAUCUAUUAAAAGAUGUUCGACAUAAACUUUAAAAAAUAAAAAAUAAAAAUGUGUUGUUUGACAUGGUUAUUUUCUUUUUUUAAAACAAUAAUUCUAUAUGAUUUCAUAUAAUGCAAAGAUCUAAUCUUUUAUUAUUAUUAUUUCUUAACUUUGUAAUGCACUCUUGUAAAACGAAAAAAUUUCUUUCAUAAAAUUUUUCGUAUAAAAAAAUUAAUUCCAAAAUUUUUUUUAAUCAUUUUUUUUUGAGGGAAAACACGCCCGUAGGUGAAUUUAUUUAUCAAACGGGAGGUACAACUUGAGAAAAAUCAUCUACCGAGGACCAAAAAGAUAGUUUGUUGCUAGUGAGCCCCCAGUUGGCCAAUCGAUCUGUAACUACACCAUUUUAAGAGAAUCUUGAAGACCAUCCAUAGCUAAAUUGAUUGGAACUUUCAAAAAAAGUUCCAAGAUCCGUGAUUCUUGUUCGAGCUUCAACUGUUAGCGAAUCUGAAUGAUAGCUCCUACGGUGCAGGGCUUUAAUGAUGGAGGCAGAAUCUGAGUAGAUAUGAAAAAUUUCUCCCGGAUACCUUUGCAACAAAAGAUUUGUCGCUGGGGAAAUUGCUCCAAUUUUCGCAGAGCAAGCGUCAUGGACAUCCUUUAGUACAUCGGAUAUGCACAUAAUGAUUCCAUGCUGAUUGGCGAUCAGGCAUCCUACUCCACCUAUAGUGCCACCUUUCCAACUCCCAUCCACCCAUACAUGUAAGGAAAAUGUCGCAGGUUCUUAAAUCAGAGUUGGGUCCUGAAUGCUAAUCCUCAUCAUGUUCUUUUUAGAAUAUAAGAUCGUCCAACUGCGAGCCCGUGAAAUGAUGGUAGUAAUACUGAAAAUUUUUCCUUCAAAAAUCGUCUCAUUCCUUUCUUUCCAUAAGCUCCAUAACAAAUGAACACAAAAAGCCCUAUGGGUCGUCAUGGCUUUAUUAGUUAGGAUAAAGAAAUUCUAAAAGGACAGAGGCCUAUCCGCAUUAUCAAUUAUAAGGCCUAUACUGGAUGCGAACCAGACACGUCGUACGUAUUUGCUCACAAUUAAAGAAUAAAUGUACCAACGUCUCAGACUCUUGUAGGCAAAGCGGGCAAAGUCUAUUAAAGUUAGGUAGUCUCGAGGCUAGUGCUACCUAACUUUAAUCUACUUCUUCCUUUCUUAUUAUUUUAUAGAAAAAGUAUACUUUACAAAUACAAAAGCUACAACAAUGCUAAAUAAGGCGUAAAAAUUUUCAUGAGAAAAUAGAAAUUAGAGGCUUUAUUAAAUUAAAAUUACGUAAAAUAAAAAACUUACAAUUUUUUUUACAAGAAUAAACUUCAAAUACCACUCCAAUAGUUUUGUACUUUCUCAUUUUAAUAUCCUAUAUUUUAAAGUGUAUCAAUUUAAAUACCAUGUGGUUUCAUUUUUCUCUUUUCGUCAGUCCCUUCACUAAUUUUUAUUAAAUUAUAUACAAAAAAUUUCAGAUAACCCACCUAUAAUUUAUCGAAUAUUCACUUUAGUAUCCUUCAGUUUUAACAAUGUCACUGAUUUAACGAAAAAAAUAAUAGAGAAAAUAACAAAAAGAAAUAAAAAUAAAACUAUAAAGUGUAAAAGUGAUACAUUUUAAAUCAUAGGAUACUAAAAUAAAAAUGUGCAAAACUUGGGUAUUUGAAGUUUUUUAUUUUUCAAAAUACUUACAUGGAAAAGGAGGGUAAUUUAGUCAUUAUAGUCGAAAUAGUUGGAGGGGUAUUUUCGGAAAAUCUGGGGCGUUGGAUUAGAGCGGGCGAUUAUUAAAUGACACGUGUCGUAACGCGAAGAGUCGUCUAGGGAGCCGUUACAAAGUCCUGUGGUUGGUCGGGCCAAUAAAUUUUAUGACGAAAAUGCCCUUGUCAUUGAAUGAUGUUAUAAACUACUAAUUUUACAGUUUUACCAUUGACCGAGAUUAAUGCAACCUAAUCAUUAGUUAAAUAAUUUAUAACCUCUAUUAAAGAGUUGACUAUAUUCAGAAGUAAAUAACAAAAAUAUCUCUAUUAAUAAUUAUUUUUUAUUUGUCAAAUUACAUCGAAUUUGUAGGAUUUGAAAUUGAGAGCAACAAUAAUCAGACAAAUUUUCGGACUCAAAUUUAGCCAAACGAAAGUUAUAAGAUUUUUUUUUUUUUUUUUUGAGAGAGAGAGGUAGGUUCAUUCAUUUUUCUAAAAAUUAGCUCAGUUUAAAAUGUAAAAAAAAUAAUUAGAUUUAAAAUUUAGAAUCUCGAGUACCAAUUAUUAAGUUCUUAGCUAAAUGCGCUAGGUACGGUCAGUUAUAAGAUUUAGAAUGCUAGAAUAAGAAAUUAGAUCUGUACCAAAAUUCAAAUUUGUCCACAAUGCUACAUCUUGAGUAUUAAUUUGAAGUUGAAAUUUUAAAAUUUUAUAGAAAUUCGUAUAUUCCAUCUAUUUCACUUUAUCGUUUAAGUCUUGCUAACUAACUAUGCAAAUAAACAUACCUCAAAAUUGUUGUUUGUUUAUAAUGACUCGAAUAUCAAAAUUUGAACUCAAAGAGACCUUUUUAUUUAUUUAUCCUUUUUUUUCUGCCUAUGAAUUCUUUUUUAAUAAAAUAGAUUAUUCUUUCCACUUAAUUAAUAUUCUAUUUCAGUUCUUACUUCUGUGGCUAGAUCGUAAUUUUUCUUUUAGUUCAAAAAUUACAAAUUUUGGCCUAAAAAUAUUCCGCACUUUUGUCAUGUUUCAAUAAUUUCUUAUACAUGAAGGAUUCAAACUGCAUAUAAAUAACGGUACUAUAGAAUUAAACUGCAUAUGAAUGAACAUAAAUGCGUGCAUUAUUGUCUCGAUACAUGAAACUGGGUUUAUUAGCAUUCCAAAUUAAAGUAUUAAUAAGUUUAGGCUUAUAAGUAAGUUUUUUUUUUAAAAAAAAAAAAUCAAUUGUAAUUUGUAAAUGUAGAGGAGCAUGGUAGUGAAAUGUUAAAUAAAACAAAGGGUGAAAUGGUCACUGCGUUGACAACAUGAUGAGAGAUGGAGAAAAAGAAAACUUGUGAUUGAUGGGUAAGGACAAGACAACAGGUGUGUACCAAAAAAAAGCCCACCUGAUCAUGUCCACCUAACACAAAUAAAUGAACAAAUCUCCAAAGUCAAACUAAGGAGAGGAAAUCCAAAAAAUAAAAAAAUAAAAGGAGACAGUGACACCACAUUUUACGAAAAAAAAAAAAAAAACGUAAUUUUCUCGGAUACUAAUUAUUAAAAUUAAUAUUUAUAUUUAAUUAUGUAACUUAGGAUGCAAAAUAAAAUAAAAAAAUUAUGAAAAAAAAUAUUAGGAGAGGAAGAUGAUAACUAAAUUAAUAUUUUAUUAAUAAAAUGUAUUUAAUUACACUUGGUCGACACACUCGGCCUUAUACAAUUAAUCAUGUCUACUGUAGCUUACUUAUCUAAUUAGCUAAUGAAUAACUAUAUAUAGCUGUUAAGUCAUAACAGAUAAUAAAUCCAACUUUUAUUUUGAAUAAUUAAAAAUCCUGCUCUAAUGAUAUAAACUUUUAAAUAUAAUCACUCAAUGUAUAAUUUAGAUAUACUUUAUCUCUAACUAAAUUUUUAAAUUAAAUUUGAAUUAUUAUUCUAACAAGAACAGUAUAUUUUAUUCAUUUUUUAUUUUUUUUGUGUUGAUGUUUGUGAGGUUGAUAACUUUUGUUAGUUUAGAUGAGUAGUUUGAGAUCUAUUCUCAUAUUUUUCUCUUCUCCUGCAUUAUUAAAUUUGGAGAGAGUCUCUUAUUAUUUCUCUAUUGUUAGGUUUACUUGGAGUUUUACUUAAUUUCUUUACAACUAUCAUUAGGGCCUACAUGAAAUCUCCUCCACUCUCUCUUCUAUUAUAAUUAAGCUUUACUUUUAAUAAAAUAUUUAAUUUUCAACCUUUUAAGUUAGAUGCUUAAUAUUAAUUAAAAAUUUUAAAAUAAUUUUACUUUGUCUGGACAAAAAAAUAAUUAUGUAUGCCCUAUGCAUUGUUACAUGGACAAAAAUUUGGUGGGCAUCAUCCCCAAACAAUUUGUUUGGGGACAAUGCCGAUGGGUGCCGUGUGGUGUGCGGCGCCCAUCGCGACCCUCGGAAACAAAAAAAAAAAAAAAAAAUUGUGGGCUCCGAUUUUUUAGAGAGAGAGAGAGAGAAAGAAGCCGGUGGUGGAAAGUGGGUGGUAGCGAUGGGCAGCUGUACACCACGCGGCACCCAUCGGCUCUGUCCCCAAACAAGUUGUUUGGGGAUGGAUGCCCACCAAAUUUUUUUCCUCAUUAUAUCCAUGAAUUAUCUUGUAUUAAUGGCAUAUUUUAAUCUUAUCAUCAAUUAAGCUGGGGUUUUUAGUUUUUCCUAUCUUAAAUAUUAGUUAAUUAUAUAUGAAAAAAAGUAUAAGAUUCAGCUCUUUGCCUAUAUUAAAAAUGGCUAACUUAAGAUUGAGAGAGAGUGGAGAACUAACAGAAAUAUAUCACAAGUGCUCAAGCUCAAAGAAUCACAUUCAUAAGUCAUAAAUCUAUCUAUUUAUAGAUAUUAUACGAAAACAUAGUCGUUACACUGUAUUUUCAGAAACUGGACGUGAAACCCAUUUUUAGACGCUAGAAUGGGCUUCUCAGAACCAGAUAUAUACGUACAUUCGAGUCCUUAAUCUCAACUCCACUCUUAAUGUCACUGCUCUUGAAUCUUCUUCUAUCCUCACCAUCUUCUUCUAUCCUCACCAUGUGGCCUCAAACUUGAGUUCUUCAAGAUACAACUAAUAAGAUCUUACUCAACUAAAACAUUUAAUAUCAAAAUCAUCAUUAUUUACUGACUGUCCUUAGAGCAAGUGGCAAAGGAUUGGUGGUUGGUACCUGAGACCCAAGUUCGAAUCUUAGUUUAUUUACAUUCCUAGCUAAGUUUAUUUCUAAAUGAAAUAAACGAAACAGGUAGCGUGCUACCUAUCUCUCAAAAAAAAAAAUCAUCAUUAUUUGUAAUCAUCAAAAUAGGGCAAAAAUUUUAUGGACACAGUGUCCAUAAAAAGAAAUUUGGGGAUGCCUCCUAUGGGUGCCGGAUGGCACCUGCCUCAUGAGGGGAGCAGUAACUCCCCUAUGGAUGGAGGAAUUCUACACUAUCACACUUGCAUCACAUCAUCAUUAACAAGACAAUCACAUUUAUUCUUUUCAAAUAAAAGUACAAUAAUUUUUUUUUUUCAAUCAUAAUGAGAUAUAUACCCUUAAAAAAAUAUUUAAUUAAUUUAUUAUGUUACGUCACUAAUAUGGACGUUGCAUUUUAGAAUUUUUCUUUUGGACGAGAGGAGCAGUAACUCCUAUGGGCGCCGCAUGGCACCUGCCUCAUAAGGGGAGCAGUAAUUUGGGAAUGCAUCCUAUGGGCGCCGCAUGGCACGUGCCUCAUGAGGGGAGCAGCUUUACUUUUUUUGGGUGCACAUGGUGCACUAUAUUUUGUUUUAAUUUUUUUAUUUUUAUAUUAUAAUUUAAUGUAGUUAUUAUAUAUUAUGAUAUUUUAAAAAAUAUAUAUAAAAAAUUUGGAGUUUAGGGUUUAAAAUUAAUUUUAAAUAUAUAUUUAAAAUAUCAUAAAAUAUAUCUCUAUUAUUUUAUUAAAUUAUAAUUAAAAAAAUAAAAAUAAAAUUUAAACCAAAAGAUGGUGCACCGGGCGCACCGAAAUAAACCCCACUGUUCUCCCAAAAAGCAAAGUAGCGGGGGGCGACACGGCGCCCAUCCGGAGUAUCUGGAUGCCACGCGGCACUCAUCCAAGGCAUCCUCAAAUUAAAUUUUAGGGCUUUUUUUGCAAAUAGCCCCCUGAGCAAUUUUUAUUUUAAAAGUAGCCCUACCAAAAUUAAAAUUGCAAAAAUGGCCCUGUCUCUGCCACGCAGGCGCCAAGUCAGCACCACCCGGGCAGGGCUGAGGCCAGGGUAUUAAGUUGAACACGGUGAAUCAUUCACCGUAUUUAGACACAGUGGAUGAUUCAUCGUGUUUUUUACGUAUUUUUUGUAUAUUGAAAAGUGAAAUAAGGAGUAGGGAUGUCAAUAGGUAUGGAUAUUCAAAAUAUUAUCCGAAUCCAAACCCGAAUAAAUUAUAUAUAUAUAUACGUAAUUUAUUUUUGUUUAUUUAUACAAUAUAUAAAAUAUUUAAUAAUUUUUAUUCCUUAGAUCUUCAUCCAACGGUAUAGAUUUUUAAAACCCGCUGGGUUGGAUGAAGAUCUAAGGAAUAAAAAUUAUUAAAUAUUUUAUAUAUUGUAUAAAUAAAUAAAAAUAAAUUAUAUAUAUAUAUAUAUAUAUAAUUUAUUCGGGUUUGAAUUCGGAUAAUAUUUCGGAUAUCCAUACCUACUGACAUCCCUACUCCUUAUUCCACUUUUCAAUGUACAAAAAAUAUGCAACAAAGAAUACGUACUAAACACGGUGAGCCAUUCACCGUGUUUGAACACGGUGAAUGGUUCACCGUGUUCAACUUAACACACGGUCCAGUUCUGCCCGCGUGGCGCUGACGUGGCGCCUGCGUGGCAGGCCCAGAGCCAUUUUUGCAAAUUAAAUUUUGACAGAGCUAUUUUUAAAAUAAAAAUUUGUCAGAGAUCUAAAUAUAAAAAAAACCCCUAAAUUUUAUGGACACUGUGUCCAUAAAAUUUUUGCCCAUCAAAAUAUAAUGGUCUAUUGAGGCCACUAGGCCAACAAUUAAAACUUGGCCAUUUGCCCAGCCAAAAAGUGAGGGUAAUGGGUACAUUGUGCACUAUUUCCCCAACUUUCAGCUAGGUUUCUUUUUGGUCCUUGGACUUUCAAUUUCGAUGUUAAACUCCUAAACUUUUUAAUCCCUAUGCAUAUUUACUGUGCCUACACCUGGUGCAUCUAAAAAUAGACUUUUUUACAAAAUAAUCCUCCAAAAUUUUAUAAUUUGCAAAAUAAUCCUGCCAAUUUUAUUUUUGGCAAUCGUUCACCCUACCUUUUAAAGGCGGUGAAUCGUUUACUGCAUUCAUUAAGGCGGUUAAUAAUUCACCGUCUUUAUUAGAAUUUAUAUAAGAAAUAGGAAAAAGUGAGAUUAUUAUACAUGGAUUAUUAGAAUUUUUAUUUGAUUGUUAGGAUUGUAUAGAUAUUUUAUUAGAAUUUUCAGAUUGUUAAAAUUAUAUGUGAUUUGUUGAAAUUUUUAUGUGGUUGUUAAAAUUAUAUAUAAGAUAUAAAAAGAAACACUAAAUAAGCUAGAGACGGUGAAUGAUUCACUAUUUUUGUGAAAAAAUUAGGAAGGCGGUGAAUCGUUAACCGUCUUUAUGUAGGCGGUGAAUCGCUCAUCAUCUAGAAAAUUCCAACGUGCCUCGUACAUGGCAAACGAAGGGUUAGUUUGCCAAAAAAAUUUUUCAUAGGAUUAGUUACCUAAUUAGAAAAUUUUAUAGGAUUGUUUUGAAAAAAAAGUCCUCUAAAAAUUCAUAUAUUAUUACUAGCAUCAGUUAUAAUAGGCUUAAUGGUUGGUACCUGAAGUUUCAUAUUGAAAGCCUUGUUCCUUCACAUUUUUAGUUCAGUUGAUUUCUAAAAAAAAUAAAUGAAACAGAUAGCAUAUUAUCUAUCUCUCUAAAAAAAUAAAAUCAUAUACUAUGCAUUUAUCUACAUUUUUCUGUUUUUAAAAGUUUGGACAGUUAAUUGAAAGCAUUAAUUGAAGAAAGGAUGGACAGAAUCUGCGGUGCAAGUAGUUUUUUAAUCUCCAAAAUUAAGGACUGGAGUGAAAUAUUAUAAAAAAUUUUAAGGACUAAAACGGAAGUUUGUUAAAAGUGUAGGAGCCUAAACAUCCAAAUCAAAAGUUCGGGGAUCAAAAUAAAACUUGAGUUGAAGUUCAAUGACGGGUUGCGCAAGAGUAUAUAACUACUAUAAUCUAUGGCUGCGUUUGGUUCAGGUAUAAGUAAGAACUGCUUGUUUCAGAGAUAGGUACAAGUUUAGGUAUAAGCAGGAACUAGACCAAUUUUGCGUUUGGAUGAAAAUUGAGUUGUUUCUACGAAUAAGGUAAAUAGCGUUUGGAUAGUUAAAUUGGAACAAGAGAAAUAAAAGUUAUAAUCUGAAAUUAAAAUUAUAUUAUCUAAUUAAUUAACAUCAAAAUAUUACUUAAAAAUAAAUAAUAAAUAAAUUAUUAAUAAAUAAUUAUAAAUAAUAAUAAUUAUUAUUAUUAAUUAUUAAUUAUUAUUAUUAUUAAUUAUUUAUAAUUAUUUAUAAGUAAUAAAUUAAUUAAUUAUUAAUUAAUUAUUAAUAAUUAUUAAUAAUUAUUUAUAAGUAAUAAAUUAAUUAAUAAUAAUUAUCUAAUUAUUAAUAAUUAAUUAUAAAUCAUUAUUAAUAAAUAAUAAUAAUUAUUUAAUUAUUAAUUAUUAAUAAUAAAUUACUAAUAAUAUCGAUUAUCUAAUUAAUAAGAAUAAUUAUUUUAUUUUAUUAUUAAUUAAUAAUUAAAUAUAAAUAUUAAUAAUUAAUUAUAAGUAAUAAAUUAAUUAAUAAUAAUUAUCUAAUUAUUAAUAAUUAAUUAUAAAUAAUAAAUUAAUAAUAAUAUCGAUUAUCUAUUUCUUAAGAAUAAUAAUUAUUAAUAAUUAUUAUUUAAUUAAUAAUUAUUAAUAAAUAAUAAUUAUUAAAUUAAUAAUUAUUAUUAUCUAAUUAUAAAUAAUUAAUUAUAAUUAAUUAUUUGUUUAUUUAUUUUAUUAUUUAAGCAAUAGAUAAUAAUUCAAAUAUAUUAAUUAGAUUAAUUAAUAAUUUACUAUCAUUAAAAUUUAAAUUUAGAUUUAAUUAACCUUGUUCUUAUUCGGGAACAAGCUUGUUCCAGAAAAAAGAUGGAACAGCAGUUCCAGCCAGUUCCAGUCUUAUACCAGCUAGUUCCAGAAACCCGGGAACUAUUGUUCUCGGGUACCAAGCGCUGCGUUUGGAAACAAAGGGGGGAACAAGAGCUUAUUCUCCCCCUUGUUCCCGAACCAAACGCUACCUAUGAGUAUAUAUCUUUUUAUGCUCAUAAACUUUCGGCCGUUGGAUAAAGGAAUGUGCAGUUAGAAUAAUAGUGGUCCUCUAGUGUUGAGUUGGGUGGUUCGUUGAAUAGUAUGAUCUAACGAGUGAAAAUAGUCAAAGUGGCAGAUCUAUGGCCAAAAAUUUAUGAGUGUGAAGGGGACUAUACUUAUAAGAGUAUAGUAGCCGGACUCGAUUGCGCAAUUUACCCAAUGAAACAAUCAAACAAGAUGGAUUUGCAUUUCCAUUUAUAUGGGCUGAAAAUUCGAUGGAGACAGCCCAUGGAGUAUACCCAUGAUAGUUUCUUUAAUCUUUUCUCCCAAGAGGAGUUAUUUGGGCCAAGUUAAUGGAAGUUUGGAGUGCACACAAUAAUCUUAUAAUUAGAAAACGCGGUAUCAUAAACUACCAUUGAUAAGUCAACUUUGUUGCAACAAUUAGAGGCUGUUUGGUUGCAUGCUGUUGCAACUGCACUGCAGUUGUAACUAUAUAUAAAUACAAAUUUGGUGUUUGAUUUAAUGUAUUUAACUCCAAGUGCUGCGGUAGGAACUGCAGGAGGAAGUCCAAUUGCAUCAAUUGGAACUAUGCCCAAAUUGGCCACAGUUCCAACUGCAACAGCUGAAAAAAGUAACUUUAAACAAAAGGUAAACUUAUCUCCUUAAUUAUUUUUUAAAUAAAAAUUAUUUUUUUUAAAAUCGGAAGUAAUCUCACCAUAUAUAAUGGUAAAAUUUUAAAAAUCAUUUCUCAACUGAAUGCAACCAAAUAAAUUAUUUCUAGUUGUAACACUUUCUACUAUAUCCAACUAAACAAAAUGCAUGUAGUUGCAACUGCACUCAUCUUCAAAUAUAUUGCAUUUAUAACUACAUCUAAUCAAACAGCCCCUUAGUAAGAAUCAUUGUUCUAAAGUAGUGGCUUUUAUAGAGUCUAUUUUUGAGGUUAGGAAUUCGACUCAGAAAAAUACUCCCCCCAAAAAAAGACGCAAUGGUUAGAAACUAAAAUUAGAGUAAUGCUAUCUAUAUGUUUAAAGGUGGAUAUAUGUCUCAUAUUACAUAUUUAUAUUGCAGCCAAAGGUCAAUUUUGUUGCACUAGUUUUUUUCACAACCAUAUUUUUUUAAUACUAAAAAUUCAAAAGGGUUGUCCACAUUUUAGUAUACAUAUAGCAUUUUUCUUAAAGUAAAGCUGUGGCUUAAUAUUUGAUUAUUAAUGUUAAAGAAAUAAAAAUUUAAGAAAAAAAUUUGAGAGAGUUAUUUCAAAAUGAUCUAUUAGUUUGAUGGAGAAAUGAAUGCAUAUAAAGAGAUGGACCAAAUAAAUUAUUCAAAAAUAACUUAUUAUAAAAUUCAAACAAACCUUAAUGUUUAAUGAUUAAAAUCUAAUUCAACAUGUAGGAGUUAAACCAUGUAAAUAAUCUAUGUAUAGAAAAAUAUAUGUAUUUUAAAAAUUAAUUAUCCGGACAUAAAAAUCAAUUGUAGAGAAGUAUUCUUUGGUUAAUUUAUAAAAUUAGUGUACAAUAUAGAGAAAGAGCGAGAGUAGGNAUCUUCGUCAUAGUCAAGGUGAAAAAAAAAAAAUUAGCUGAUAGGAAAAUACAACGAUUAUAUAACUGUAAAUUUAGUUUUAAAUUGAUCACAUAUAUGUCCCUCAACUACCGGUACAAUGUACUGACCUAUUUUUCAAUAUAACUAUUUUUUAAUCGUUAUAUUUAUUUUCUAUAUAUGAGUCACUUUCACUUUUUCAGUAAAGGUGAUGCCUCAAUAAGGUGCAGUCUAAAUAGAGUUUGAUUAAUAACGUGGUUUAUUUUCUCUUUUUUCAAAUUAUUUUAUUAUUAUUAUUAUUAUAUAGAGAAUUUUUUUAUUGUUUUAUUAUAUCAUUAAUGUAUAAUUAGUUUAUAAAUUUUAAAAAUAAAAAUAUAUUUUAUUUUUAUAUAACAAUGCGUGUACCUCACCUUCUUCCCCACCCACCCCGGGCGUGACCGAAGGUCUUUAUCAUUUAACAGUCCUAUCAAUGCACUCGUUCUUUUCCCGCCCUUCCUUUGCCGUGGCUUGACUGCGCGACCUCCGCGCGCUUUGUCUUUCGUGCCCCCACCCGGGGCGCUAGAGCGACCGCAGUGGACGAGUACCAAAAGGUAGGACUUGGUGCAGGUGGUGCAGUCGUAUUCAUUGAACGUCCAUAUCUCCAGAAUUUUAAACAUUGGGUUGGUAAGGCGCAUUAUUAAAUGUAAUAAUAUUGGUUGUCAGAGAAAGGAUCUCGUUCACUGUUUCUCAAACCACCAACCAUGAGUCCUGGGUUCAAGCUUAGAAUCAACUAAGUGGAAAGGUCGAUUCAAAUAAAGAUUUAUUUUAUUUGCUUCGCCCAUCGCACGAUGAAUAGAGAGAAUUUUUUUUUUAUAUAAUAAUAAUACAUCUGUAAGAUGUUUAAUUGGCCCAAGUGGGCGAUACUGCGUAUUAAUGAAAGCCCUAGAUAAAAAAAAAAAAAAAAACUCUCUAUCCAUGGUACGAUGGGCGAAGAAAAUAAAGUAAAUCUUUAUUUGAAUCGACUUUUACACUUAGUUGAUCCUAAGCUUGAACCUAGAAGCCAUGGUUGGUGAUUAGGACUUAUAAUUUACUCGAAUCAAAUUAUAAAAAAAAUUUUAAAAAACUAUUACAUACCUAUUCCAAUGUGGUACGGAGAUCGACCGAACCUCUACGAGUUCGUGCUUAGAGGUGCGUCCCACCUACUCGACAACUCUAGUUGUACCUGCUUGUUUUUAAUGGAUGCGCUAACACGUAUAGGGUAUCGUGCGGCAAUUAAAAAUGGUGAUGUUGAGGAAAAUAAAUAUUGAUAAAAAUCCUCAUUAAAGUCGUAUUUAAAAAAAACAGAUCUAUCCCAUGCAUCGAUGCACUAAUGCAAUUGAAGCUGUAGGUUUAGUGGGAUAUUUUUGAGAGAUACGCCUGCAUCCCAUCCAAGGUGACAGGCGCUGUACCUCUGUGAGGAGCGAUGGGAUUUUGCCUUUAUUGAAAAAAGAUUUUUUUUAAUAUCUUCGUGGAUUUGUAUUUAUUGAAUAAUUUACAUUUAAUUUUAUGUAUAUAUUUUUUUUUUUAGAUAUUCCACGCGGAAAAACUGAUUACACGCGUAAAGGGGUGGUGCGGAUUGACAAGGGUUAUAUCGUCGUCCGGUGACAUACGCCCGUGGCGUGGGGACUGAGGGGGUGAAACAGGCGUACGCUUGGUUGCCGCCACUAGCUGGCAAGGGGGGAAGCUAGUGUCGGCAAUCACCCGGGUUUUCAUCUAUUCCACCCAGUAUGCUUCUGGAAGCACGGAGCGCUCCGUGCUUCCAAGUUGUUUUCGAUGUUCGGACUUUCGAAUCGACGAUCGGCUCCGUUAGACUUGAUCUAAAGUAUUUGAAGUAUCUAGAAAAUAAAUUUUGCGAUUUUUCGAUAUCAUUUGCCUAGUGAUCGAAGUGGCUCAAAAUCAACGGCUGAAAAUAAAAAUCUCACAAAAUAUGAUGAUAUGACAUUAAAAUUUUAGAUCAAAGUUAUUGAUCUUGUUUUAUAUGGUAUAAAGAAUUUUCUAUCAAAAUUUCACGUGAUUUGGAUAUUUCUACACCGUUAAACUUGCAACCGGCUCACCACGGCCGUUAAAAUUAUUGAUUUUGAGCCCCUACGAUCACUAGGCAAAUGAUAUCGAAAAAUCGCAAAAUUUAAUUUCUUGGUACUUUAAAUACUCUAGAUCAACUCUAACGGAGCCGAUUGUCGAUUCGAAAGUCCGAACAUCGAAAACAAAGUGGAAGCACGGAGGCCUCCGUGCUUACGAAAGCAUACCAGCCCACUCUAUAUAUAUAUAUGUAUUUUGUUUCAUAAAAGAUAAUUAAUAAAUUAUAUUUUGAUUUUCAAACCAUGAUUACAAGGACUUAAAUGCACAGUAUAGGAAAUGUACUUAUGUAUUCGGUGCAGGCAAUAGUUUUUCAGUUUAAAAUAGUCUCCAAAUAUUUAAAAAGCUCGAAGAUAAUAUACAAUUUUUUUAAAAAUUCGAACUCAAAAAAGAAUAUGAAGAAGAAAUGUACUAAUUAUGUAUUCGGUGCAAGCAAUAGUUUUUUAGUUUAAAAUGGUCUCCAAAUAUUUAAAAGUUUGAAGAUACAAAUUUUCAAAAAAUUCGAACUCAAAAAAAGAAUAAAACUGCUAUAUUACAUCCUUUAUGUGCUAGUGUGUAAAUUUUUUUGAUAAAACAAAUAAAUAAGUGAGAUCAUUAUGAUUUCAAAACCAUUAAUUUUCUUUCAAAUAAAUUUUUUUUUGAGUAUCCUACAAACCUGUUUCUAUAUUUAGAUUUGCAUAAACUUCACCAUAUUUUAGUUCCCAAACUUCUAAAUUUAAUAUUUUAGUCCUUUAAAAUUUUUUUUUUCACUUUUAGUCUUUGUAAUUGUUUACUAUAAAGGAGAAACUAUUGCAUAUGUCCCGUGCAUUUAUGGACUUGCGCAAUAUUUAUUUAUCAACUCUUAUAUAUGCGACAUUUUGUUAUUUAGAAAUUAAAUUUUUAACUUACAAAUGUGUGAUAGGUGAAGACCGGAUGGAUUUAUAGUGACAAGGGGAAACUUUGAAUACCUGGUUUCGCACUUUUCCAUUUUAAUACCCUGUGGUUUAAAAUAUAUCAAGUGGUUUCGUACUUUUUUAUUUCAGUACUAUGUGAAUUCAAGUGUAUCAAGUUAGUACCCUGUGAUUCCGCACUUUCUCACUUUAAUACCAUGUGGUUUAAUAUUUCGUUAAAUUAUAUACCCCGAAAUGGAUAAUAAAAAGAAAAAAUUGAAACCAUAAGGUACUAACUUGAUACAAAAUAAAAUCAUAGGGUACUAACUUGAUACACUUGAAACCACAAGGUUACUAAAGUGAGAAAGUGCGAAANAUCCCAAAAGAGCCUUACCACAUCCCAAUCCCAAAGUGUACUUUUGGGAUUGAGAAAAUCGGAAUAUGAUCUCUGUUUAACGUUCAUUCAGGAGGUUUUGAGUUUUAAAGUAUUGCUCAGGACGUGUCGCGCACAUUUUGCGCUCUUAUGGGGAGGUACAUGCUAGGGUGCGUUUUGCCGUGUAUUUUAUAGCGUAGAAAACGCUUUAAUGUUAAAACGGUUGUAGCUGGAGAGAAGCUAGUUGCACGCUAGAGGCGUCUAGGCAGGUAGCCUAAACGCUUGCCUAGUGUGGUCACGCUAGUCGUGGAGCCUCUAUCGUUUCGAUGCUAAAAACCAAGUGGAGCUAGCUGGUGUCUAAGCGCUGCUUUAGGUAAGAGAAAGGUUUUCCGGUAUUAUUGCGUGUUAAUGUAUUCUUUGUACAUAAAAGUCUAAAAGAGCUUUAGGCACGCAGUUUUGGUUUUAGGCAGUCGCGGUAAUCAAGGUCUUAUCGACGUAGGAAGCUUUGCUCGAUAACCUGACGAUACUUGCCUCAGGCUAUGCGUGGUCUUCGGUUGAGAUGAGGCGCCGAAGAGGUCUUUUGGCCUCAAUGAUAAGUGAAUUCACUUUUGAUUUUUAGCGCAUUGAAGAGGCAAAAUCGAGUAAAAGAGGACUUUGAACUGCUCACGAAUACAUUAAUUUAAUGUGUGUAUUUGUAGCAGUUGUCUCUCAAAUCAACGUGACAUUUUUUUGGGUCAGGAAUGUUUUCUAAUCAAUGAAUUUAAUUUUAAAAUUUUAUAAUCUAUCAAUUUAAUUUUAUUAAAUAGUAAGUUUCUUUAAGAUAUGUAUAAUAAACAAUAAGUUGGAAUUAAUAAGAAAAAAUAGAAUUAAAAAAAUAGAAUUAAUCCCCCCAACCCCUAGAAAAAAAUAGAAUUAAAAAGAAUAAAAAGGAGAGAAGUGACUAAAAACCCAUCCUCUCGUACUCCUUAGCCCGGAUAAAGAAAAAAUUAAAUCAGAUUAAGAGGAGAGAAAGAGUAAUAUUUUUAAAUUUUAUAUAUUAAAAAAUCUAUAUUAAAAAUUUAUUGAAUUUAACAUAUAUAUAAUUUAUAUUUAAAAUCAAAAUAUCAUAAUUAAUGAAUCUAUAUCUAACGUGUUAUUUUGUAUUUUCUUUCUAACUACCUCAAAUCUAAUUAAUAAAUAAAAUUAUUCAAAUAAACGCUCUUAACAUACUUCAUAUGAUUGAUUUAAACAUUUCUAUUUGCUAUAUAAGUUUAAAACUUUAGUUUUAUGAUAAUGACUGAAUUUAGAUUAUAUAACUUUCUAACAUUUCGUUUUAUUUUAAAACUUUCUAACCUAUAUGAUUAAAUUUUACUAAGUUCCAAGAUAUAUAAAAAUGAAACUAAAAUUAUAGUUUAAAAUUACAGUAUAAGAUCAGGCUAUUCGCUAAUUGAAGUAUAAAUUUGAAAAAACAUUAUAGGUUUUAUACUAACUAGCUGAAGAUAAAAAUUAUUAAUCCGUAAGAUUUUAAAUAAGAUAUCAAUAUAUCCAAAAAAGAGCUUACUUUAAUGAUUAAUUUGUUUUAACUAGCGAUGAAUUGAAACAGAAGCAAACCUUAUUUUUAAUAUGUAUUUUUUUUAUUUAAUGUGAAAGCGAGUAGUUUGAUAUUCUGUACAUUGUAUCAUCAAGAGCUUAAAAUUACGCAAUAUUAAAAAUUGAUUUUGAUGCUCUGUGCACUGUGAAAUGAGGAAUUUAAAAUUAAUCGACGUUUAAGACUGAACCUGAUACUCCGUAUACUAUAAAAUCAGGAGUUAAAAAUGACGAUGAUAUUUAUAUUAAAUAAUAAGAAUAUUAAAAAAUAAAAAAAAUAUAAGAAGAAUAUAAAAAAAUAAGAAUAUGAAAAUGACAUUAUCGACGACGAAGAAGAAGUCAAAGAAAAAAAUUAAAAAAAUAAAAACUGACGAAAAGCAAAACAACAAAAAAUUAAAAUGAAUAAAUAAAAAAAAGCUAUAAUUAGGCGACGUUGCGCCUCCUAACCGCUUCACCUCCUCCCUGCCCACCCCAUGCGCGCGCCUUGGCCGCCGGCAAGCCGCUGCGGUCGCCGGAGGGACCUCCCCGGCUUCCCCCUCCACUUUCUAUCCCUCUCCAUCUCUAUCCCUCUCUCCCUCUCUCUUAUCUCGAGUUGUGAGGAAGCCCGAGACUGCCGCCACCUCCAGACCCUCCGCCGGUGUCGCCCCGUGCUCCGGCGAGCAUCCCCGCCGACCGCCGCCGUCGCCAAGCGCCGCCGCGGCCGCUGCUGCACCCGGCUGCUGCCUAGGCCGAGCUUAGGUCGAGGAUGACUCGCGGCCUCCCCGCGCGCAGCCACCGCCUGCACCCGUUCCGGCCGCCAUCCCCGGACCCUCGGCGACCACCCCGGCAGGUCGCCAGCGCUCCUGCGGGCCGCCGCCGCCGCUGCGGCCACCCUGCAGCCAUCCCAGGUCUGCUCGGACUGAGCAGACUUGGUAACUUCACCCCAGCGCCGCAGCCGCCUUGGUCCACACCCGCGGCCUUCUCCUGUGUCCCACCGACCGGCCGGUCGCCGCCGCCCUUCGGAUCGCCGCCGCCGCCCUGAACCUUGGGCGCCGCCGCCUAGGCCUGCAGACCGAGCCUAGCUCGAGCGGCAACACCCGAGCCGCGGGCCGCCGCCGCUGUCGUCCGCAGCCUUCCUCCUCCUCCUCCGGCCUCUGUGGACCUGCCGCCGUCGUCCCCGACCUGCCCCGGCCGUCGCCGUGGCCGCAACACCCCCCCGGACCCGUGCCCUAGCUCGUGCGGGCAUGCCUUGCUCCGCCGCCGCCGCACCCCGCCGCCGCCGCCGCACCCCGCCGCCAACGGAGGUGAGCAUCGUGUUCCUCACCUCCCCCGCACCCAUCCCUGGCCCCCACGCGCGCCGCCGUGCCGCCGGAGGCCGGCCGGAGCAACCUUGCUCCGGCCAAGCCCGAAAUAGGGCUUAGUUUGGGAUGGUUUACUGUUCUGAGCUUCCUGAGCCUCCGCGAUCUCUGCGAAAGGGAGCACGAUGAUCGUAGAAAAUUUCUGAUCAUUGUGCUCACCUUAGAUUCUGCCGGGGAGACUCCGUUCCGCUGUUUCGGCAGUGUCGACCCUGUCGAGCCUGUUUGGCUGCUGUUUUGGGCUUGCGCACGCUUAUCCGGCGAUCCGAGGCUGUCCUGAUGCCUCCGGAGGUGAGCACGGUGAUCGUGGGUCAGUUCUGAUCACAGUGCUCAUCUCACUUUGGAUCAACAGUGUCCGGUUAGCCCUGUUUGGAGCAAUCUUCCCCGACUGCGCGCUGUUCGCUGAACCUUCGGGUUGCUCCCGCGCUUCCCACAGUGACCUGUUGCGCUCCAGACCAUGAGCACGGCCUCCGGUACAUCGAGACCUAUCAGUAUGUGUCUCAGCUGAACUUAGAAAUCCUCGGUUUGCGUGUACGGGCUAUGUUAUCGCCCGAUUUACAUAAAAUAUUGGGAUUUUAUGUAAAUUCAGGGGCUUUUGUGCAAUUGUGAGCCUUGGGGCUACUGUGGACAGUGUGUAGACAUGUGUGGUGUCCUCUGGACUGAUUGUCCAUGAUCCGUUAGCUUUUGCAGAAAUCGAAGAGUCGAUUUCGAUGCGUUUUUCGGCGAAAUUCGCCGAAAGAACGCGGUUUUGGUUCGGAUUUCUUCCGACGUCGUUUGGUUGCUCUGUGAGUGGUCGAUAAGCCUUGUCGGCUGGUCACCAUCAUCACCUUGUGGGUUCGGUGAUGACCGGUGAGCGACGGUGGGUUCCGGUGUCGAAUUUGACACUUCCGGAAACCCGUAUUCGUACAAUUAUCCGGCGAUAAUUGUGUCGUGGUGUUACCUUAUGUUUGCUGCCAAAACAUCCAAAUUGGAGUGUUUUGUGGCAGCGGGUGACUUGUAGCAUGGGUCGGUGCGUUCCGGGACAUUUCAGUGGUCCCGACGGAGUCCCGGUGCGAUUUUCGGGACUUCCGGCGAGUUACGAUAGUCGGUUUUGAGAAACUGAUUGACAUGGCUGCAGCCUAGCUUCAUGGGUGGACAUGUUGACAGCGCGGACAGAGGACUGACGUUUUCUUGCAGUUGUCCUGGAUUCCUCCCAGGUGACCCAAUCACAGAUUGGGUGUUGAUUCUUUGUGAUGUAGUAUUAGGGAGAUUGUUUGGGUGCCUCNAUCUUCUCCAUUUUAGCUCAUUUUCGCCCGAAACUUGACGAGUGCUUAUGUAAUUAAAUUACACACAUAAACAUCAUCAACAGAGAGUUUAGUAGCACUGUCAAAAAUCUCAGUCCUUACAGUAGGGUUUGUGUGCUAUUAGGAGCACAAAGGCUUUCGUACUCGUAAGUCGUUUUUUAUGAUGGAACUUUCAAAUCGACGAUCGGCUCUAUUAGACUUGAUCUAGCAUGCAUAUUUGAAAUAUCUAGAAAAUAAAUUUUGUGAUCUUUCGAUAUCAUUUACCUAGCGAUUAAAAGGGUUCAAAAUCAAUAAUUUUUAAAAGUUGAUAUAUAUCGUUUGCAAAUUUAACGGUGUAGAAGUAUUGAAAUUAAAUAAAAUUUUGAUAAAAAAAUUUUUACACUAUUUACUGCAAGAUUAAUACCUCUUAUCGAAAGUUUUAGUGUUAUAUCACCACUUUUUGUGAGAUUUUUAUUUUCAGCCUUUGAUUUUAAACCCUUUCGAUCGCUAGGUAAAUAAUAUCAAAAAAUCGCAAAAUUUAUUUUCGAAAUACUUCAAAUACGCCAGAUCAAAUCUAACAGAGCCGAUCGUUGAUUUGGAAGCUCCAUCAUCGAAAACGGCCUCCGUGCUUGUAAUAGCACAAUAGACCUACUCUCUCUCUCUCUCUCUCUCUCUCUCUCUCUCUCUCUCUCUAUAUAUAUAUAUAUAUAUAUAUAUAUAUAUAUAUGUAUUUUGUUUCAUAAAAGAUAAUUAAUAAAUUAUAUUUUGAUUUUCAAACCAUGAUUACAAGGACUUAAAUGCACAGUAUAGGAAAUGUACUUAUGUAUUCGGUGCAGGCAAUAGUUUUUCAGUUUAAAAUGGUCUCCAAAUAUUUAAAAAGCUCGAAGAUACAUACAAAUUUUUAAAAAAUUCGAACUCAAAAAAGAAUAUGAAGAAGAAAUGUACUAAUUAUGUAUUCGGUGCAAGCAAUAGUUUUUUAGUUUAAAAUGGUCUCCAAAUAUUUAAAAGUUUGAAGAUACAAAUUUUCAAAAAAUUCGAACUCAAAAAAAGAAUAAAACUGUUAUAUUACAUCCUUUAUGUGCUAAUGUGUAAAUUUUUUUGAUAAAACAAAUAAAUAAGUGAGAUCAUUAUGAUUUCAAAACCAUUAAUUUUCUUUCAAAUAAAUUUUUUUUUUGAGUAUCCUACAAACCUGUUUCUAUAUUUAGAUUUGCAUAAACUUCACCAUAUUUUAGUUCCCAAACUUCUAAAUUUAAUAUUUUGGACUUUAGAAUCCUUUAAAAAAUAUUUUUUCACUUUUAGUCUUUGUAAUUGUUUACUAUAGAGGAGAAACUAUUGCACAUGUCCAGUGCAUUUAUCGACUUGUGCAAUAUUUAUUUAUCAACUCUUAUAUAUGCGACAUUUUGUUAUUUAGAAAUUAAAUUUUUAACUUACAAAUGUGUGAUAGGAGAAGACCGGAUGGAUUUAUAGUGACCAGGGGAAACUUCAAAUACUCCCCCUGUGGUUUCGCACUUUCUCAUUUUAAUAUCCUGUGGUUUAAAGUGUAUCAAGUUAGUAUCCCGUAGUUUCACACUUUUUCACUUCAGUACCCUGUGGAUUCAAGUGUAUCAAGUUAGUACCCUGUGAUUCCGCACUUUCUCACUUUAGUACCAUGUGGUUUAAUAUUUCGUUAAAUUAUAUAUCUCGAAAUUGAUAAUAAAAAGAAAAAAUUGAAACCACUGGGUACUAACUUGAUACAAAAAUAAAAUCACGCGAUACUAACUUGAUACACUUGAAACCACAGAGUUACUAAAGUGAGAAAAUACGAAACCACAUGGUACUAACUUGAUAAACUUUAACUACAAGGUACUAAAAUAAGAAAGUGCAAAACCACGGAGGGGUAUUUGAAGUUUUCCCUAGUGACAAUAUAGGUACCCGCGCGUUGCGGCGGAUUAAUAUCGAAAAAAAAUAAAUAAGUAAAAUUAAAAAACAACAAAACGAAAAAGAGUCAAAAAUAAAAAAAUUAAAAAAAUAAACUGAAGAAGAAGCAGCUAUUUCAGUAAAAGUAUAAGAAUAAAAAUAUAAGAAAAAUAAAAAAAUAAAAAAUUAUAAGAAUAAUAAAUUAUAUUUAUAGUAGCAGUAAAAAUCUAUACCCAUACAUUAAUCCCAAAAAAAAUGUCACGUGUCUGUAUAUCCUUUAUUUUGGACUUCACAUUGCGAAACUAACCCUUCGCCUUCCCUCCGAUUAUAACGUCUAAUUAAUGGUCCACCCACUUUAGCCCACUUUAACCAAACCCUUCACCUUUCCUAUGUACAUAACGUUUAAUUAAUGAUCUAUCCACCUUAACCCUAAUCUAAACCGUAAAUCAUAGAAAUCCAUGCAAAAGUCCCCUUCUCUCCUUCUUUACUUUCUUUUCCUCCUCCAUGGGCUCCGAGGCUAAAAUCGAGCAUCAGCUAUAGACGGAUGAUGAGUUUAUAUGCUGCAUGCAUCGCUGAGUUUGGCGCUGUCAUCUUCAUCAAAUCGAGCCUUCCUCCAAAUUUUAGAAGUUCUUUUAAAAGAUUUACAUAUUUUUUUUGUUGUAGUGUUAAAAUUUCUUAGGUAGCUUUAGUCAGUUUUUCCAAAUUUAACACUUUGAUUGUUUUAAUUUAUAAAAUAUUAAUUUUUAUUGAACAUUUUAUCUAAAUCUCUCCCAAAUAGUAUAUCACUUUUUGGCUCAAUAGGUUGACAUACUUAUUAUAUUUUUAUGAGCAUUUUGUUACUAAUCGGUUUCAGCAGAUUAAUAUACUUUUACAAGAAGUCAAUAUAUUUGGACUAUUUUAAUUUUUAAAAUAAUGACAAAUUUUUGAUAUAUUAGUUAGACAUUAAAUUUAUUUUAGUGGUAUCUACCCGCCGGAGCAUGCGGGUUACUACACUAGUUAGCUCAUUAAUCUACAAAAGAUCAUUAUUAUUUAUAUCUAACAAUUACGUGCCUAGAAAAUAGCUUAAUUACAGCGUUAAUUAAUCUCCAUCUCUUUCUUUUUUAUUGUUUAAACUGAAGGGGCCAAAAAUCUAAAAUUAGCUUAGGGACUGUUUGGUUUGAGUAAAACUGCGGAAAAAAAAUUUCGGUGGAAAAAAAAUUUUCGGAGGAAAAUAAAUUUUACGCUCUUAGCGUUUGGUUUGUAGGAAAAAAAAAAAAAUUUUGCAUCGCUGUUGUUUGAUUGAAAGGAAAGAAAAGAAAAAGAAGGGAAAAUUUAGUUAUAAAUAAAAAAUUAAUAUAUAUAUAUAUAUAUAUAUAUAUAUAUAUAUAUAUAUAUAUAUAUAUAUAUAUAUAUAAUAAUUAUCAUAUUACUAAUAUUAUAAAUUAUAUUUGUAAAUAAAAUAUGUUUAAAAUAUAUUGUACAAUAAGUAUAUAAUAAUAUUUAUAAUAUAAUAGUAUAUAUAUAUAUAUAUAUAUAUAUAAUAUAAUAUAUAUAUAUAUAUAUUUAAUACUAAUAAAUAAAUUUAAUAAAUAAUAUUUAUAAUAUAUAUAUAAAUAUAUAUAUAUAUAUAUAGAGAGAGAGAGAGAGAGAGAGAGAACCGGCUAUGGUGGCUUGUAAAAGCACGAAAUAUUUGGUGUUGUGUAAAUUUUUUACCAUUAGAUUUAUGCCUUUGAUCAUUUUCAACCGUUAGAUUAUACUAUUCAACCAACCACCACACUCAACUCUAGGAGGCCCACGUCAUCCUAACUGCACAUUGCUUAAUCCAAUGCUAAAAAUCUACAAGCACCAACAACUUGUACUUUUAAAAGCAUAGGAGCUCAAUUCUCUCUUUAUAUAUAUAUAUAUAUAUAUAUAUAUAUAUAUAUUAUAUAUAUAUAAUAUAUAUAGUCUCCUAUACUAUCUAUAGUACCGGAGCUCUGGUACUAUAGUCCAUUUUCAAUCUUAGGGUGUUCAAAUCAACGAUCCACACCGUUAAAACUGAUCUAGAGUAUUUAAAGUUUUAGAAAUAAAAUUUUAUAUUUUUCGACAUAGUUUAAUUACUUUAUGAUCAAACUAUUUCAAAAUUGUUAAUUUUCAAUGCUACUAUGGUGAGUUUGGAGUUUACGGUGUAAAGAAUCUAAAUUUCUUCAAAUUUUGAUAGAAAAUACUUUAAACUAUCAAGAUUAAGGUUAACAUUCUUGAUCUUGAAUUUAAAAGUUCUAUACUCAAUUUAAAGAUUAUUCAAUUUUUACCGUUCAUUUUGACAUAAUUUAUUUACUAAGUAACAGUGUCCAAAAAACCUAAAAUUUUAUUUCUAAGAACUUCAUAUGCCCUAAAUCAGUUUUAACGGUGUGGAUUAUUAAUUUGAACACACCUAAGAUCGAAAACAACACUAUAGUACCGAAGCUCUGAUACUAUAGAUGGUAAUGUAGCCUAAUUCUAUUAUAUAUAUAUAUAAGUUAGCUAUGAUACUUUUACAAGUAUCACCAUCAUGGUGCUAUUAGUUUUAAGCUAUUGGAUCUACUUUUUGAUUAUUAAUAGCCCUUGGAUUAAACACUAUUCCACCUACCACCACCUACCACCACCUACCACCAUCAUCUCAACCUCACAUCUCUCCAUCCAAAGCUAAAAACACACAAGUAUCACUUGGGUGAUACUUGAAAAGUAUUCUAGGCCCUAGCUAUAUAUAUAUAUAUAUAUAUAUAUAUGUGUGUGUGUGUGUGUGUGUGUGUGUGUGUGUGUGGAGUGGACCACUCACAUGGUCCACGAGCUCUUAUAUGAGCUCGUUGAGGACUAAAAUAUCAUAUGCCUCAUAGUUCAAGUUAGAAUUUGCAGCUAAUUAAAAUUUAAGGAGUAAAGUGUCACGUGUCUCGUAGUUUUAGUUAAAAAUUAUAACGCAUUAAAAUUCGAGAACUACUAUGUUACAUGUCUUAUAGUUUGAUGAGCGAAAGUGUAAUUUAUUUUUUUUAUGUAUAAUUUUUAUUCCAAACGAAGACAAAGUUGAGUAGCGAUCAAUUUUGUUUAAUUAGUAAUUUCAUUCGAGAAAGAACCUAUAUAACUAUAGAAUAAAUUUUGGAAUGCCUAAUUAUUAAAAAUAGAAGUCGAUCAAUCAUAUUUUAGAUAUUACAAAAAAGUUUAAAUAUGAAGUUAAUCGCUUAUCGGACUAGAAAUAUGACAUUAAAAUUUGAUAUUAAAAUCAAAGUAAAAAUAUAUAGAACCUUGAACCAUUUUAAAUUAGUAUAUCCAAUCUUUCAAAAUUUUAUUUUGCUUUACAAUCUUUCAAUAUAUUAGAUUUAAGUCAGUAAUAGUAUUUUGAUUUUAAAAUUUGAAUAUAUUAUUUAUCUUUACAAAUUUAGUUAAUAUACUUUAUACAAUUCUCGCAAAUAAACUUAUUAAAAUAAAUAAUUAACCUAAACUCCAUCAAUCUUUUUUUUAUGUUUUAUUGUGCAAUCUAUAUCUAAGUAAUUAAUACUAUAAAACUAAAAUUUAUAUUUAAUAUAUAUACAAUUUAAGUUAUUUAAAAAUUAUAGCUAAAAAAUUAUAUAUUUUAAAUUUUUAUAAUGAGAAAGAGAAGAGAAUUAGACUGAAUUAAAAAAGAAAUAGGCCCGAUUCCUCGUGCUCUCCUACCCAAAAAUCAGUGAAGAGAGGAAAAAUAAGAAAAAUUAAGAUAAAAAAAGAUCCCCAACCCCCCUAAUUAAGAUAAAAAAAUUAAGAUAAAAAAGAAUAAUUAAGGUUGAAUAACAAAUAAUAUGUAUAGAAUUUCUUUGAAUGAUAAAUUAUUUUAAUCUAACUAUCUAAUAUUUUAAAAUUUUAAUUUAAGUAACUAAUCUUUUAAUUUGGGUACAAAAAUUUAAGCUAAUUACUUUUGAUACAACACAUUCGAAAUUUACAGCUAAAAUAUUAUUAAUCGAUUCAGACCAAACAAAUUAUAAAUUAGCUAGCAAAAUUAGAAAUUCCAAAGAUUUGGUAGUCAAAUAAAAAUGUUAAUAAUUGAGACAAAUUCUCUAUGUUUUCAUUCUCAAAAUAAAUAGGUAAUGCUUUGUCUAGCCUCAUUAGGAAAAAUAUUUUUAAUCUAGUCUGUUUUCAAAAAUAUUUCUAAUCUAGUCUAAUUUUUAUGGAUUAGAAAAAAAAAUAUGUUAAUAACUUUUAUGUAAAUUUAUGUGUUAAUUAAAAGAGAGAUUAUUUUUUUCUCUCUCCUCUCCCAUCUUCAUCUUCCAAGACCUUUCUCUCACUCCCUCUCUCUCUCUCUCUCUCUCUCUUCCCUCACACAUUUUCUCUCCCCCCUCCCCCACACACACUCUCUCUUUAAUAUUUAAUAAUAAUUAAUUUUUAUUAUAAUAAUAAUAAUUAAAAAUUAAUAUUUAAUAUCUAAUAAUAAUAAUAAAUAGUAUUAUUACUAUAUUGUAAAUUUUUAUUAUUACUAUUAUUAUUACUACUAUUAUUACUAAUUUUUAAUUUGGCCUUAUAGUUUUAUCAAAUAUAGUCAAUUUUAUAGCAUAUCUGCUGUAUAGUUAUAUCAUUUUAUUUUUAUGUAAUUUAUAGUCGUAUCUUAAUUUGAAUGUACAGUUUUAUUGGUUGUUUAAUAACAUCAAUUAUAUAGUCAAAUUAAUAUUAAUAAUAUUAGUAAUAAUAAUAGUAAUAAUAAAAAGUUAUAAUUUAGUACUAAUUCUAUUUAUUAUUACUAGUGAAGUUAUCCGUUCAUUGCGGUGGCUGAUGCUAUGAAAAUUUUGACAAAGUAAAAAAUUUUAAAAUUUUUGACUUGUCAUGAGAUACCAAAAAUACAAAUAGAAGAUAUGAAACAGAUAUAGUAAAAUUUAUAAUUUCAGCAAAUAAAUUACAAAUAAUAAUAAUAAAAGAAACGACAAUAGAACACUAUUUUAUACGCACCUUAAUCUCGCUGUCGAUAUCAGGGAGGCGAAUCCUGAUCCAUGCCACAUUUGCUACCGUUGUCAGUAUCGAGCUUCUUCUUGGUCACAGUCACGUCGAUUCCGUACAGAUCUUCCCAGACCAACCGUUUCUUCCCCGUCAUCGACUUCAAAUUCAUUUUUAGUUCCCCCCAUCGUGUCGUGCCAUGAUCCUUAUAACCCUAAUUUCAUCCCCACUCAAUUAAAAAAUAAUUAAGAAAAGUAUAAAAUAUGAAUCUUUUUUGUGUCCUUUCUAUAAAAAAAAAAAAUUUGUUUCUUUUGUGAAAUUGAUUUGUUUACAUGAUAAUGAAUCAUGUGAACAUAUUAAUUAAAAAGUGGGCUGGUAAUAAAAUGAAACAUUAGUGAUGAAAAAUAAUAAAUUCAAUUAUUAGGAAAAGAAAAGAAGGUAAGGGUGAAGGAGGUGAAGGAGGCAUUGUUACAUGGCAAAAUUUAUAAAAAAUAAUGUAUAGAUAUAAAUAGAUAUAAAUUAUUANGUGUGGGUGUAUGGGUGGGGAGGGAGGAGAGAGACUGCUGCUUAAGAGGGAGGGAGAGAAAGAGGGGAAAAGGUGUGGUUGGUGAGGACUGAGGAGAGAGAGAGGGGUCUUGGAAGAUGGGAGAGCGAAGAGAAAAAAAAUAAUAUAUCUCAAUUAACAUAUAAUUUAUAUAAAAAUUAUUAAUUUAUUUUUUUUAAUAUAUAAAAAUAAGGCUAAAUUAGGAUUAUUUUUGCUUUUUUUUUUCCCAAUGAGAUUAGACAAGACAUUACUUUCAAAAUAAAACUCAAGUAAAAAUUACACUUUUGGCACUCAAAUUAUGGAAUGCGUGAUAUUUUGAUCAUCAAACUUUAAUUUAUAAUAACAUUUAGCUUAAAUUUACUAAAUUAUCGCAAUCAAAUUUGACAAUUCAAUUUACUUGAAUAUAUAGUUAAUAUAGAAAUAAUGCGCCAGUACUGCAAGCAAUAACGCAACAAUGAUUAAAUACAUUAGCAGAAUUAGAUUAUGGGACUUAAUUAUAAUAAUUUAAAUAAUUUGAGUAAAAAAUUACUAUAAAUUAAUAUUUAAAAGGAGCCAAGGACUGAAAGCGUAAUUUAGGCUAAAAACUGGACUAAAAGAGGAGUCUAGAUUCUAGAAUACGGUUCAUCAGUCUUGUACAAUAAUUUCUCCCAAGGAGGGAAGAAUGAUGUGCUCUCCAGCUGCCAGCCGGACUUCAAAAUCCGGACUUAAAUACGAAUGUAUAAGAGCCUGCAAAACAUCCUACGAGGAGCCUUAUACGGACCCGUUAAGAAGUAGCCCAUCUUUGCACCCGCUAAUACCCGGUGGGUCCCACUGAGGAGUGCGCAAACGGGUUGGUUUCUUUUCUCGGGCGCGCAAAGAAAACCGCCUCCGGUCGAGGACUCGCGUCCCCAUCGCCGGCCCCACCGCGUCCGGAUGCGGUUUUCUCCGCCCGGCUCGGCUCGGCUCGGCUCGGCUCCGGGAAACGACAAGAGUGCACCCCCCUCGAGGCGAGGGAAAGGGCCGGGGCCCCUGCUGUACGGGCGUUGGCGCAUGCGGGCGCGCGCGAUUGGUUUUGCGGUGCCGUCCGAUCUCCUGCCCGCCGAUCUCGAAAUUCAUUCCACGCCGAGCAUGAGUAUUACUCGACUAGUUCGAAUUAGGUUUAAAAGCUCGAGAAUAUAUAUAUAUAGUAGAGUUAUUAUGCUAUCGAAAGUAUAGAGAAUUUGGAGCUUUCGAUUUUUUGAUUCUUAGAUCAAUCCCUUUAAUCAGUUCUUAACUUUGGAUUAAUACUAUUAUUACCUUGUACGGACCACUCAACUCUAGAAGUAUUAUUUAAUCCUAGUACCUUAUAGGGAUCACUCAACCCUAGGGAUAUUAUUUAAUCCUAGGGAGGAUCGCAAUCAUCCCAAUCGUACAAUCCUUAAUUACAAGGUCAAAAAUUCGGAAGCAUCAAAUCCUCUAUAUUUUUUAUAGUAUAGUAGUUCUACACUAUAUAUAUAUAUAGAGAGAGAGAGGGGCUAGGGCUACUAUACUCUUAUGAUUAUAGAGCAUUUCGUACUCAUAAGUUGUUUUCAAUGGUGGAGCUUCCGAAUCGAUGAUCCACUCUGUUAAAUAUGAUUUAGAGUAUUUGAAACUUCUAAAAAAUAAAUUUUGUAAUUUUUCGAAAUCAUAAUAAAGUUAAUCAAGUAGGUAUAAAAUGAACGGUCAAAAUCGAACGACGUCUUAAAAAUAGAUGAUCGGAUCCUUCAAUUUAAGAUCGGAGUUAUUGAUCUUUAUCUAUAUAGUGAAUAAAAUUUUCUAUCAAAAAUUCAAUUGAUUUCGAUUCUUUUACAUCGUUAAACUAGCAAAUAUUCCAUACUGGCCAUUAAAAAUUGUCAAUUUUGUGACCUUUUGAUCGUAAGGUAAAUGAUGUCGAAAAAUUAUAAAAUUUAAUUUCUAGAUGUUUUAAAUACUCUAGAUAACGUUUAACGGUAUGGAUCGUCGAUUUGGAAGCUCUAUCAUCGAAAACAACUUAUGAGUACGAGGGUGAUCAUACUCAUAAGAGUAUGAUAGUCGAACUAUAUAUAUAUAUAUAUAUAUAUAUAUGAAAAAAUAUAUAAAUAUAAUAUAUUUUAAUUAUAUAUAGGCUGGGUGAAUAACCUGAGUUUAGUUAAAAAUGGGCCAAUAUUGUUGACCCAUAAAAACAAGCCCAAUAGACAAAUAAAAGAGCAAAAUUUUACUAAAUUUAUACAUUUUUCCUUUCUUUCUUUCUUUUACAUAGCUCUAAAUUUUUAAUAUAUUUCUCUCUUUCUCUUUUUCUCUGUCUCUCAUCCUAAAUGACCAAACCGGAAGCCCUCCAAGUUACCAAGUAACAGCAUGUCGUUGCCUACCUUACUAUUAAUUGUAUGCUUGAGAAAAUAUACAGAAUAUUUUUAAAGUAAAAAAUUAUUAUUUAUGUAAAAUUUUAAUUUUAGUUAUAUAUGAUUGGAUAGUUUAAUCUAAUAUUUAUCUAUAUAAUUUAUUUAUUUUUAACCGCAUGAAUGAAAAUGAAUAAUAUGAAGAUUGAAGGCGGAAGAGAAGACAUGUGAGGCUGAAAAGAUUAGAUAUUCAACUCAUAAAUUAUUUUUCUUCAUAUUAUAAUACCAUAUUUCAUAUAAUUAUUUUGUACUUUGAAUUAUUAGACAUAUUUUUGUAUCAAAUUAUAGAUAAUGUUUAUACAAAUUAAACUAUUGAUCGUAUGAUGUUGAGAAUUUCAAGCAGCUCGUUUGGGGCUCGAACUCGCUUGACUCGAAAUUAGGCUCGCUCGAGCUCAGCUUGAAUUAAUUUCAAACCAAGCUUGAGCUUAAAUUUAGGCUCGAAAUUAAUUUCAAACCGAAUUUGAGCCGAGGUAAGCUCGCUCGAGCUCGGCUCGUUUCCACCCCUAGUCCGCACGGAGUCCGCGACGUGCAUGGUCAUGGGACUUGCGAGGGAAAAUGUAUCUCUAGCUCAAGUUUACUCAUUUGAUCGUAAUUUUUAAAAGGGGCAAUUGCUUAUAUACUCCUGAAAAAUUCUCGACUUUUGAUUUACCUUUCUUAGAAGGCUAAUAUUGAAAAUAUCAUUUCUACGUUUCAACCUAUUUCUAAUAUACCCCUAGAGUUAAAAUCUGUUAAUUAACUCUAUUAUCUCUGUAAAAUUAUUAUUUUGCCCUUUCAAAUAUACCCUUCUACCAUCACCGACUUUCUUAUUUGCCCUUAAAGUCAGGGGCACAAAAAGUAUUUUGACUUUUGGUCUUUUCCAAUAUACUCUUUUACCGUCACCAACAUUUCUUAUUUGUCCUUAAGUUAAGGGCAAAAUUGGUAUUUUAAUUUUUUUAACUGUGGUAGAUAUUUAACUCACGUUUAACCCAAAUUAACUUAAUAGGAGAUAACUGCGGGGGUAUUUUGUAAUAACGGUAGAACAUGUGAGGGGUAUUUUAGAAAAAAAAAAAGUAGGGAUAAAUUAGAUAUUUUCAAACGUACGAGGGGUAUAUAGGCAAUUAUCCCUUUUUACAAAAUAUUGGCCAAUUUGCAUAAAAAAUUUAUAAAUUUUAAACUUUUGUAAAAUUAGAUCAGUUUUUUCGAUUUUUUAGAUUCGAUCUGAAUUUUUAGCAAAUUGAUCAAAAUACUUUUAUUAUUUUUUCUCUCUUCUCUUUUUUUUUUCUCAUUCAUUUUUUUCUUUCUCCGAAGAAGGCGGCGGAGGCAGAAACGCCCCACCUCGCCUCUCACCCUCGUGCCCUCGCCCGCACACCCCCACCUUCUUCGCUUCCGACCUCGCCGAGACCGUGCUGCGACUCUUUUUUUUUUUUUGCCCUUGCCGACGCUCCUCCACUGUUUUCGACGAUGCCCCUCCUCCACCGUUUACUAAGAGGGAGUAAGUAUCUUAUAAUACUGAUUACGAAUAAUUAUGCAACUUAUAAAAAAAAAUAAUUUCAUAAAUACUCUUCUAGGGACUAUUAAUUUCGUUAAUAAUUUUCUAAAAUUGAUAAUAUUACGAAUGCUCUCCAAAAUAUCAAAAAUUAUCAUGUAGGCCCACUGCUAAUUUUGGCAAACAUGAACCUGAAUAUUUAAUAUACUAAAUAUUAAAUUAAUUUACUGAAUAUUUUAGUUAUUAAAAUAUAUAUCUAAAAAUUGUAUUAUAUGCUUUUUAUAUGACUUUGUUUUCAGAUUCUAGUUCAGGUUCAGAUUUGGUUCGAGUAUAGACAAAUCUACAACCAGACCCAGAUACUUUUAAAUUUCUAAUGACCGAAACCAUCCCUGAUAGGAACCGAUUGAGCCCGUCAUAUUUGGAUUCAAGUUCGGAUAAAAUCGUGGGUAUUUGUACCCAUUGACAUCCCUAAUUAAUAGUAGUAGUUUUGAACUAAAUGACAUAGUUAAUUUUCUUCCCUAUUUUUUUGCAAAAAGAAAUCACAUAACUAUUUAUACGCACCUCUAUUUUGUUUUUUUUUUUUUUUGAGAGAUAGGUAGCAUACUACCCGCUUCGUUAUUUCAUUUAGAAAUAAUGCCGAGUUUAGAUAAAAAUAAUUUUUCUGAAGUGAUUUUGAAAAGUGAUUUAUAUAUAUAGUACGUCUUCUAUUUCGAAAGUACGAAGGCUUCCGUGCUUAUAAGUUGUUUUUGAUGAUGGAGGAUCCGAUUCGGUGAUCGGCUCCAUUAGAUAUGAUCUACGCUGUUAGAACUAUUUAUAAACUAAAUUUUAUAAUUUUUCGAUACAUUUACCAAGCGAUCAAAGAGUCUCACAAAUGAUUAUUUUAACGGCCGAUGUGACACGUUUGAAAGUUCAACGGUGUAGAAGAAUCCAAAUUAUAUGAAACUUUAAUAGAAAAUUCUACUUAACAUCAAAAGAAAGGACAAUACUUCUGAUUUGAAAUUUGAGUCUUUUAUCACUAUUUUUUAUGAGAUUUUUAUUUUCAGCCGUUCAUUUUGAGCCUACUCGUCCACUAGGCAAAUAAAAUAAAAAAUUAUAAAAUUUGGUUUCUAAAUAGUUUCAAUACCGUAGAUUGUAAUAUCCUUGGUGUUUUAAAUUUCAGCAUUUGAGACUUGUCGAUACAUCUGGAUAGUGUCGGGACAAGUCCGAAUCGUUUUGGCGCGAAAUAGACGCAAAAUGGACUCAGUGUGAUCCAAGAGCAGGAAUUUAGCACUGAAAUCUGCAAAUUGUAGGUUGUCAGCAUUGAGUACCGGUACCACACAAGGGACUACCGGUACCCCAGUCUAAUUUUCUGAUUUCUGCUCUUGGGUUGUGAAGGCUGAUGUGGGAUACCGGUACGGCAUCGGCCUGGUACCAGUACUCCAGGGUAGGUGAGGGGCCUUUUGGUCUUUUGAUGCCUUGAUCAUUUCACCCUUAUCUCCCACCGCCUAUAUAGGAUAGAGGAUCUGAGAGAGAGCUUUUGUUUGCUCUUCCCUCUCUCUCUCUCUAGAUUGAAGCCGUGCGCUUGGUGGAAGUCACGGUUGGAGCUCGGAUCGACGUCGACUUCGCACUGGGGAACCGUUUGAGCACGCGAGCGUCGUAGUUGCAUCGUUGGGAGGCCGAGCGAGCGCGUGAUUCCUCUCCUGUUGACUUCUAGCCGUAGUUAGAUUAGCUUUCGAGGUGGGUUGAAGUUUACCAAAUUCUUUGAAUUUCCUCCUGAGCCUAGUUUGUUGUCAGCAUGUAUUUUUGGCUUCGUAUAUCAUGUUUAGUAGCUCGAUUCGUCGAUUUGCAUUGUUCUUAAAUGAAAUCUGAAUUGAAGCUUUAGUUUAUUAUACAUGUUGGACUUGGAUUUGACUUAGGAGAAAACUAUAGGUUCUACACUGUCAUUUUCUGAAAACUACCAAAUUUAACUUUAGGAGCUGUAGUUUGUUUCUAUCGUUGCAGUUUGUAGGCGGUAGAUACCCAGAAUAGUGUAAAAUGAAUUUACGUUCAUGUUGGAAUGCCGAGUUUAUUUUUACAGUAGUGUAUAGACUGUUCCGGACUGUCGGGUACCUUCGUGGUUGACGGUGGAUCUAGAUUUCUGUAUUUUGCACCAGAUUGUGCCGAGAGCACGUGAGGUAUGAUUGUUAGACCAGUUAGACCCUUCUGCUUUAACUAUAGCCUGUGAGAGCCUAAUUGAGCUCGGCAGAGAUAUGCUUGCAUACUAGGUUGGGUAGCGCCCACGAGUGCCACUCCGGAGUCGGGCUCUGUGCUUUUGCGUUGUUGUCGUUGUGUCCUGGUUGGACUCGCUCUCCACUGACGGCUCAGCGUAGUGGCAGUUAGUGUAGCUUCGACAGACGGGACAUGUGUGUUCACAGUCCCUAGUGAGAUUGGGUCAGAGUUUACAUUUUCUACAGAUAGUUAAUAUUGAUUAGCGAUAGUUUAGUGGCAUAUAGCUGUAGAGUUUUUCCAGCUUCCUUUACUAUCUUUGAGCAUACCUUCUAUAGACUUAGUGGGUGAGCCGUUGAGGUCGGUAGCGGUGUCCACUGAGGACUACUUCUUUUUGCAGUAGUUCUCACACCCAGUUGUUGACCCCUUUUUGCAGAGCCUCAUUCUUCGACUGCUGCUGUUGUUGAUUCUGAUCGUGAAAAGGGAGUCGCGAGCUAGAUCCCUUCCAGUUUUGUUGCUGUUUAGAGGAGUACCAGCUACAGGUAGUUUUGGGUUUCUGGGUCAUGUACAUACUGAUGUUAGAUCCUCGCAGGAGCGAGUGUUUUUGUAUCUGGAGAUUAUGUAUGUAUUGUGAACCCGAUACUUAUUUUUAUAUGUUACAGUUCUGUUAGCAGCUUUAUACUACUCGUUGUACUUUUGUAUGAUUACAGGUACAUAUACAGCUAUCUCUUCGUAUAUAGAAAAAAUUUUUUUGUAUACGGCGGAUUUGUCGGCGUGCCCAGGGAAACGAGUAAUCUGGGGCGUGAUAGAUUAAGCUGGUAUCAGAGCUUAAUAUUAGGUCGUUGGGAUUUAGGAACCCUAAGUUGGGUAAACCUUAGGAAGGGAAGACGCGAGAAGCGUGAUUUAUCGCGAAAGUUAGCGAUUGAACUGUUUUAACUUCUCCUAGAAUGGAGUGAGUGAUUGAAGGAGUGUCUGUUUCGACCAAGAAAAAAUUAUGUCGGCUGCAGACGGCAUAAUUUUGAGGAGAAACAGGGGCAGUCUUCUAGACUUUCGCUUGACUGUGUCAAGAGUGCUUGUGCUUUGUAUCUGACCCUUGUUUUGUUUUCAUGCAGCUAUGUAUCGACGUCGAGGUCGACCGCCGACCCGGGAUCGUGCCACACCACCUGAGAUGCCGAAGCAGGCAGGGCCGAGUGCACCCCCGGAUCUGAGAGAGCAGUUGGCUGCCCUGACUAACAUGACGAGGCAGCAAGGGGCAUUGUUAUAGAGGAUGUGCGAGACCUUCGCUCCGCCACCUAGUGUAGUAUCGAGAGCACCAGAGUAGUCAGCUCCACCCCCGACUACUCCUGAGGCUGCACCAACCGCAGCUGUACCCCUACCAGUGACAGUUCCUACGGCACGGGUUACAUUCUCUAGAGAGGCGUCACAAAUGUCUGAGGCCGAGCAGGAGCGGAUGACUCAAAAGCUUGCUCGUUUCCGCCGUUUUGAUCCGCCGACCUUUGACGGUAGCUACACGGAGCGCCCUGGGUUGUAGAGGGCUGGGUGAAUGCGAUGGAGAAGCUAUUUGAUGACUUGUUCAUACCAGAGAGGGAGUAGGUACACUUAGGAGUGCACUGCUUAGCUGGCGAUACGUAUUCUUGGUAGAGGAGGAUGAGACGAGAUCGAGGGUUGGUGGCAUUGCAGAUGAAGUGGGAUGAGUUCUGCGGAAUGCUGUACGGGGCGUAUUUCGCAAACAGCAUGAAGCAAAAGCUCGAGGAGGACCUGAAGAAGCCUCAGUAGGGGGAGCGAUCUGUUCAGGAGUACACCCGUGAGUUUACUUGACUCCUGAACUGUGUUCUAUUUGUAGCCAGAGACGAGGCCCACAGGGUAUAUCUAUAUGAGGGAGGCUUGAGACCAGAGAUCUUUUGGUUGGUGCAGGCGCAGAGGUUGAGGGCCUUGAAUGCAUUGAUUGAGGAGGCUUUAUAGGUGGAGAGAGGUGAUGUAUCGAUCCGCGAGCGGGCAGAGGUUCAGGUGCCGGGGUAGAGUCAGGAUAGGAAGCGCCCGGUUCCAGAUGACGGAGGAUAGUCGAGCAGCAGGCGUCCGCCGAAGCCUCCACGAUCACGCUCUCAGGGUCGUGGGUCUUCUGGGCGUUAGCGUUCUGGGGGACCUCGUCAGCAGAGGCAGUCACAGGGGACUCCGCAGUAUGUGAUUUGUGGGGGACCACACUGGCCCCGACAGUGUGAGCAGAGAGAAGGCCGGUGCUAUGAAUGUGGACAACCAGGGCAUAUGAGGGCAGCUUGUCCUCAAGCAGCAUCUCCAGCAUCAUCGACGGCGUCAGCACAGCCGGCACCUCAGCAGUCUUAUGGAGCACCACCGAGUUACCGCUAGGAUGACAGAGCGUUUGUGCCGCGGCAGGGUGAGCGGCGACAUCAGGCUUCGAGUGGCAGAGUGUAUACAACCCAGGUGGAGGACUCUACAGCAGCCGACCGGGUAGUGGUAGGUAUCAUUUUGAUUUUCGGUAUUUGAGCUCGUACCUUAUUUGAUACUGGUGCAUCACAUUCUUUUGUUAGCCGAGCAUUUGCAUCAUUGCAUGGUUUAGAGAUAGGACCGUUGUUGCAUGCAUGAGAGGUGCAGAUUUCUGACCAUACUUUGCAGGUAGCAGAGUGUUAUUGGUCGUGUUCAGUGCAGUUGGGCUCGUGGAUCAUUCCUGCAGACCUGUUGGCCUUAGGGCAGUUACAGGACUUCGAUGUAGUGCUUUGCAUAGAUUUGCUGGCGCGAUACUAUGCGACGAUCGACUAUGGAGCUAGGACAAUGACGUUCUGCGAGCCAGGCUGGGAGGAGUUCAUGUAUAGAGGCUGCAGGAGUACGUUGUUUGCCACUUGAAUUUCGUCGGCGAGAGCUCGACAGCUGAUGAGUAGAGGAUGCAUCGCUUUUCUGGCGACGGUUGUGGAGGUGUCUACGGCGGCGCCGGGACUCGAGGAUAUUCCUAUAGUCUGUGAGUUUCCGGAUGGUUUUGCCCCGGAGUUGACGACUAUGCCUCUAAAUAGAGAGAUUGAGUUUGUGAUUGAUGUAGUUCCUAAAACUGCACCAAUCUCAAGGCACCCUACCGGAUGACACCGGCAGAGCUGAGAGAGCUAAAGGCGCAGCUUCACGAUCUGAUGGAUAAGGGGUAUGUGAGACCCAGUGUAUCGACUUGGGGAGCACCGGUGUUAUUCGUAAAGAAGAAGAAUUGUUCACUCCGAUUAUAUGUGGAUUAUCGAGAGCUGAAUAAAGUGACCAUCAAGAACAAGUAUCAUUUGCCGCGCAUCGAUGAUCUGUUUGAUCAGCUGCAAGGAUCUUGUGUCUUUUCGAAGAUUGAUCUCCAGUCAGGUUACCACCAGUUGAGGGUGAGGGCCGAGAAUGUUCUCAAGACGGCUUUCCGGACUCGGUACGGGCAUUAUGAGUUUACUGUGAUGCUUUUUGAAUUGACGAAUGCCCCUGCCGCAUUUAUGGAUCUGAUGAAUAGAGUAUUCAAGCCAUUUUUGGAUAAAUUUGUAGUGGUUUUCAUUGAUGAUAUCUUGAUAUACUUCCUAAGUGAUGCCGAGCGUGAGGAGCACUUGAGGAUUAUGCUACAACUUCUGAGGGAGAAGAAGUUGUAUGCUAAACUGAAGAAGUGUGAGUUCUAGCUUCGGGAGGUUUCUUUCUUGGGCCAUGUGAUUUCUGCAGUUGGAGUAGCAGUGGACCCGAAGAAGAUUGAUGCUAUUCGGGAUUGACCCAGACCGACAACGACGGUUACCGAGGUGAGGAGUUUUCUUAGAUUAGCAGGAUAUUACCGUCGAUUUGUGGAAGGCUUUGCGAAGCUUUCCACACCCCUCACUCGAUUGACUCGAAAGUGAAUCAAGUUUAUCUGGAGUGAAGAUUGUCAGAGGAGGUUCGAUGAGUUGAGACAGAGGCUGAUGUCGGCUCCUAUCCUUACCCUUCCAGUGAUGGGGGAAGGAUUUGUGAUUUUCAGUGACGCAUCGCACAGCGGGUUAGGUUGUGUUCUGAUGCAGCAUGGUAAGGUAAUUGCUUAUGCUUCUUGGCAAUUGAAGGAUUACGAGAAGAAUUAUCCUACGUAUGACUUGGAGCUUACCGCAGUGGUCUUUGCUUUGAAGUUGUGGCGGCAUUACUUGUAAGGCGAGCACUGCGAGGUUUUCAUUGAUCAUAAAAGUCUCAAGUAUCUGUUCACACAAAAUGAAUUAAACUUGAGGCAGCACCGGUGGUUAGAGUUGUUGAAGGACUAUGAUAUUAGUAUUCUGUAUCACCCUGGCAAGGCGAAUGUGGUGGUAGAUGCGUUGAGAAAGAAGGCAGUGCAGAGCUUGAACAUGUUGAUUACUCAGCAGAGGCUGUUACUUGAGGAGUUGCAACAGUUGAGGCUCAAGGUAGUGUCCCCUGGGUCUACUGCAAGACUGAUGUUUUGGUCUUGCAGCCCACUUGUAAGGACUGAGAUUUUGAUAGUGCAACUAAACUCUCUGUUGACGAUGUUUAUGUGUGUAAUUUAAUUACAUAAGCAUUCGUCAAGUUUCAGGAGAAAAUGAGCUAGAAUGGAGAAGUUACGCGAUUAUUAGUUUUCACUUAAGUGAAUAGUAACUCCGGUUUUCCGGAGAAGCCACNGAAUGCUUAUAUAAUUAAAUUACACACAUAAACAUCGUCAACAGAGAGUUUAGUUGCACUAUCAAAAUCUCAGUCCUUACAACACUCUGUUGGACAGGAUCAGGGAAAAAUAGAGUGGAGACUCUCAUUUGUUGAGGAUUCGAGAGCAGUUAGAGAGGGGACAGGCAGAAGCUUUUUUUGUGGACAGUUCGGGAGUACUACGGUAUAUGGCCCAACUGUGUGUGCCUAUGGAUUCAGAGAUCCGAGAGGAGAUUUUGAGAGAGGCUCAUUACUCACCUUAUACGGUUCACUCCGGUGGAAUCAAGAUGUAUAAGAACUUGAAGGCACAUUCUUGAUGGAAUGGAAUGAAUUUAUGAUGUAUGCCCACCCAUCUGAGGAUGGUGUACAUCGUAUAUCUCUUUUGGGGUGUAUAAGUAGAGUUUUUCAAAAAAAUAAAACUCGAGUUCUAUAAAAUUUUAAUCUUAAAUAUCAAGACAUGAAAAAUUAGAGAAUAAAUUGUUGCUUGAUUCAUUAGAAAAUAAUGUUGAAAAUUUUUAGUUCUUCUAAUAUUAGGCACUUUAAAUAUUGUAAACCACAUAUGAUGAGUUAAAAUCUUGAAAUUAAAAAUUUUAAAAUAUUGAUUUAUAGGUAUAGUGUGUAAGGUAUACUUAUACAUUCGGUAAUUAAUAUAAAUUGGUCAAAUCAUAGUAAAUCUUUCUAUAUAUCAAUUUUUUUCAUUGUUCCUUUCUAACUUUCAAAAAUCUAUAUUUUACUCGCUUAAAAUUUUAGAAAUAUUUUUAGGAGAUACAACGUUAAUGGAAAGGGCAAAAUGACCAAAUUAUUCUUACUUUUUUAUAAAAAAUAAUUUUUUAAUAUAUAUCUGUCGUGUUGAAGGGUAUUUUCGGUAUAAAUUAUAAAAAAUUGGCGGAAUAGUGAUGAAAUCCUGACGGAGGUGGACUAAAUGUAACAACUUAAAAUGAUGGAAAUGUAAAAUAUAGAUUUUUGAAAGUUAGAUAGGAAAAGUGAAAAUAUAAGUAUUUAUAAGUGACUAAUGAAAACAUCCCACCCAUUGGAUGAGUAGAAUGUAUGAUGUACACUCUGAUUGAGGUGUAUAUAUAGUAUUGCUUUAAAUUUUAUGCUAUACUAUAUAAUUAUUGC